Molecule: ribosomal RNA, 450 nt
Filed under: uncultured bacterium
Lineage: Bacteria
Description: partial 16S ribosomal RNA
Rfam family: Bacterial small subunit ribosomal RNA
Source: RNAcentral
GUGGGGAAUAUUGCACAAUGGGCGCAAGCCUGAUGCAGCCAUGCCGCGUGUAUGAAGAAGGCCUUCGGGUUGUAAAGUACUUUCAGCGGGGAGGAAGGCGAUAAGGUUAAUAACCUUGUCGAUUGACGUUACCCGCAGAAGAAGCACCGGCUAACUCCGUGCCAGCAGCCGCGGUAAUACGGAGGGUGCAAGCGUUAAUCGGAAUUACUGGGCGUAAAGCGCACGCAGGCGGUCUGUCAAGUCGGAUGUGAAAUCCCCGGGCUCAACCUGGGAACUGCAUUCGAAACUGGCAGGCUAGAGUCUUGUAGAGGGGGGUAGAAUUCCAGGUGUAGCGGUGAAAUGCGUAGAGAUCUGGAGGAAUACCGGUGGCGAAGGCGGCCCCCUGGACAAAGACUGACGCUCAGGUGCGAAAGCGUGGGGAGCAAACAGGAUUAGAAACCCUGGUAGUCC